ACCCAUAAUUUUUAAUUUGAAUAAAUCAAGUAUAAACUUGUUUCUUGAAAAAUUGUAAUGUAUCAGCCAAUAUUUGACUUUUCAAGUCAAACAUCUAACAAUCUUCCAUUUGACCUAAAGUCGAUUGGCCAUGAACCUAUGUCCCAUCUUCUCAAGAUGGAUUUUAGUCUUUAACUUGCUAAAUAGCUUAGUCAAUAGGUCCACCACAU
This 209-nucleotide long non-coding RNA is filed under the name Elaeis guineensis (African oil palm). RNAcentral describes it as "long non-coding RNA (EGUI_LNC042341)". The record is from RNAcentral. Lineage: Eukaryota; Viridiplantae; Streptophyta; Magnoliopsida; Arecales; Arecaceae.